Molecule: ribosomal RNA, 506 nt
Filed under: uncultured bacterium
Lineage: Bacteria
Description: partial 16S ribosomal RNA
Rfam family: Bacterial small subunit ribosomal RNA
Source: RNAcentral
AGUGAACGCUGGCGGUAGGCCUGACACAUGCAAGUCGAACGGCAGCACAGAGGAGCUUGCUCCUUGGGUGGCGAGUGGCGGACGGGUGAGGAAUACAUCGGAAUCUACUCUGUCGUGGGGGAUAACGUAGGGAAACUUACGCUAAUACCGCAUACGACCUACGGGUGAAAGCAGGGGAGCUUCGGACCUUGCGCGAUUGGAUGAGCCGAUGUCGGAUUAGCUAGUUGGCGGGGUAAAGGCCCACCAAGGCGACGAUCCGUAGCCGGUCUGAGAGAAUGAUCAGCCACACUGGAACUGAGACACGGUCCAGACUCCUACGGGAGGCAGCAGUGGGGAAUAUUGGACAAUGGGCGCAAGCCUGAUCCAGCCAUACCGCGUGGGUGAAGAAGGCCUUCGGGUUGUAAAGCCCUAUUGUUGGAAAAGAAAUCCAUCUGGUUAAUACCCGGGUGGGAUGACGGUACCCAAAGAAUAAGCACCGGCUAACUUCGUGCCAGCCGCCGCUGUAA